This 253-nucleotide ribosomal RNA is filed under the name uncultured bacterium. RNAcentral's name for it is "partial 16S ribosomal RNA". It matches the Rfam family "Bacterial small subunit ribosomal RNA", at positions 524 to 776 of the family's 1533-position model. The record is from RNAcentral.
UACAGAGGUGGCAAGCGUUGUUCGGAAUUACUGGGCGUAAAGGGCGCGUAGGCGGUUCGUUAAGUCUUGUGUGAAAUCCCCCGGCUCAACUGGGGAACUGCACAGGAAACUAGCGGGCUUGAGUUCGGGAGAGGGAAGCGGAAUUCCGGGUGUAGCGGUGAAAUGCGUAGAUAUCCAUAGGAACUCCGGUGGCGAAAGCGGUGUGCUGGAUCCUUUCUGACGCUGAGGCGCGAAGGCCAGGGGAGCAAACGGG